This 957-nucleotide long non-coding RNA is filed under the name Vulpes vulpes (red fox). RNAcentral describes it as "lncRNA (ENSVVUG00000019958.1)". The record is from RNAcentral. Lineage: Eukaryota; Metazoa; Chordata; Mammalia; Carnivora; Canidae.
GAUGCAGAGAGUCCCUCCGACAGACACAUGUGGUAAUGGCUUGGGAUGCACACACGCCGACGAAUAAUUGGAAAAGAGACUUCUCAUUGUUCUAGGGCCCAUGAUUCAUUUGCUGUAGAAGUGAUCUCGUCGGCUGCCCUACACAUUUCCUCUCUGGACCAUGUUUUUCUUGGAUUGACUUAAAUAUACAAGGAACAAAGCACUUUCUGAAAGAAGCAACCCAAUGCCAACAUGUUGGACUUGAGAAAUCAAGAUGUCUCUGUAGGCAAGGCUUGAAGGGGUGUUUCUCUAUUCCCUGGCAGUUGUACGUGCACCUGCUCGGCCAUAAAGUACUCAACUCUGUCUUUUCCAUAAUUUUUGUGUGGCAAAGAAGUGUGAGGCUGAGUGGUGCAGGAAAACCAUCAGCAGCCACCUUGGGGAACAGAUGGACUUGUUCCUAGCCCUGCAAAGUGGGCUCUGGAGGAAGACUCCCACCCAGGGGAUUGGCUCACAACUAGGUCAGCCUGGUCCAUUUAGUUCUUUUUCCUUCCAGGUGCUUCGUUCCAAGCCUCUAAACCCCAAACCUGGGCGGCACUGCUUCCUUCCUUGGAAAAGCAAUUACAUGGCAAGACAUUACGUUUCUUUCUAACCAGCUGACCAGAUUCAAGUUGGCCAAAAGAAGAGGUGAACUAUAGUCAUGGUUGUGAUCGUCUCGCUACUCACAACGGGGAAGCUGUCCACGUGGAUUGUAAACUCCGCGCUGCUGGGCCGUUUAUCUCUGCCACCACAACAGCCCGGGCCGCAAACAGGCGAGCCGUUCUCUGCCCGGCUCCUGGGCUCCCGCCGGGAGGGCACAAUUAAGACAGACCCUUGCCUUCUUGGCUGCCAAAGCAUUUCAGCUUCUGAAGAGCAUGGGAAGCAACGCCAUCAACCCCCCUGAGGAAAUAAAUAAAUAAAUUAAUUAAUUAAAUAAAUGCA